ACGAUGAAGAGUUUGAUCCUGGCUCAGGAUGAACGCUAGCGGCAGGCUUAACACAUGCAAGUCGAGGGGUAGAGGCUUUCGGGCCUUGAGACCGGCGCACGGGUGCGUAACGCGUAUGCAAUCUGCCUUUCAC
This 133-nucleotide ribosomal RNA is filed under the name Flavisolibacter sp. RNAcentral describes it as "Bacterial small subunit ribosomal RNA". It matches the Rfam family "Bacterial small subunit ribosomal RNA", at positions 1 to 136 of the family's 1533-position model. Lineage: Bacteria; Pseudomonadati; Bacteroidota; Chitinophagia; Chitinophagales; Chitinophagaceae. The record is from Rfam by way of RNAcentral.